GGAGGAAAGAACCAACAGGGAUUGCCCCAGUAGCGGCGAGUGAAGCGGCAAAAGCUCAGAUUUGGAAUCGCUUCGGCGAGUUGUGAAUUGCAGGUUGGCGCCUCUGCGGCGGCGGCGGUCCAAGUCCCUUGGAACAGGGCGCCAUUGAGGGUGAGAGCCCCGUGGGACCGUUUGCCUACGCUCUGAGGCCCUUCUGACGAGUCGAGUUGUUUGGGAAUGCAGCUCUAAGCGGGUGGUAAAUUCCAUCUAAGGCUAAAUACUGGCGAGAGACCGAUAGCGAACAAGUACUGUGAAGGAAAGAUGAAAAGCACUUUGAAAAGAGAGUGAAACAGCACGUGAAAUUGUUGAAAGGGAAGGGUAUUGCGCCCGACAUGGAGCGUGCGCACCGCUGCCCCUCGUGGGCGGCGCUCUGGGCGUGCUCUGGGCCAGCAUCGGUUUUUGCCGCGGGAGAAGGGCGGCGGGCAUGUAGCUCUUCGGAGUGUUAUAGCCUGCCGCCGGCGCCGCGAGCGGGGACCGAGGACUGCGACUUUUGUCUCGGAUGCUGGCACAACGGCGCAACACCGCCCGUCUUGAAACACGGACCUCCUGUGUGAAGGGGAUUCCGCUA
This 607-nucleotide ribosomal RNA is filed under the name Pichia fermentans. RNAcentral describes it as "eukaryotic LSU rRNA". It matches the Rfam family "Eukaryotic large subunit ribosomal RNA", at positions 52 to 664 of the family's 3401-position model. The record is from RNAcentral. Lineage: Eukaryota; Fungi; Ascomycota; Pichiomycetes; Pichiales; Pichiaceae.